GCGGUUGUGGCGAAGUGGUUAACGCACCUGAUUGUGGUUCAGGCAUUCGUGGGUUCGAUUCCCAUCAGUCGCCCCA
RNAcentral lists this transfer RNA (76 nucleotides) under Peribacillus psychrosaccharolyticus. RNAcentral describes it as "tRNA-His". It matches the Rfam family "tRNA". Rfam says of the family: Transfer RNA (tRNA) molecules are approximately 80 nucleotides in length. Their secondary structure includes four short double-helical elements and three loops (D, anti-codon, and T loops). Lineage: Bacteria; Bacillati; Bacillota; Bacilli; Caryophanales; Bacillaceae. The record is from RNAcentral. RNAcentral also lists the same sequence under 202 other names.